RNAcentral lists this ribosomal RNA (450 nucleotides) under uncultured bacterium. Its description in RNAcentral is "bacterial SSU rRNA". It matches the Rfam family "Bacterial small subunit ribosomal RNA", at positions 29 to 524 of the family's 1533-position model. The record is from RNAcentral.
AACGAACGCUGGCGGCAUGCCUAACACAUGCAAGUCGAACGAGACCUUCGGGUCUAGUGGCGCACGGGUGCGUAACGCGUGGGAACCUGCCUUUAGGUUCGGAAUAACUCAGAGAAAUUUGAGCUAAUACCGGAUAAUGUCUUCGGACCAAAGAUUUAUCGCCUUUAGAUGGGCCCGCGUAAGAUUAGCUAGUUGGUGGGGUAAAAGCCUACCAAGGCGACGAUCUUUAGCUGGUCUGAGAGGAUGAUCAGCCACACUGGGACUGAGACACGGCCCAGACUCCUACGGGAGGCAGCAGUGGGGAAUAUUGGACAAUGGGCGAAAGCCUGAUCCAGCAAUGCCGCGUGAGUGAUGAAGGCCUUAGGGUUGUAAAGCUCUUUUACCCGGGAUGAUAAUGACAGUACCGGGAGAAUAAGCUCCGACUAACUCCGUGCCAGCAGCCGCGGUAAU